GUGGACAAGGUUCCUGCCGGUGAGGACAAGGUUCCUGGCAGUGUGGACAAGGUUCCUGCCGGUGAGGACAAGGUUCCUGGCGGUGUGGACAAGGUUCCUGCCGGUGAGGACAAGGUUCCUGGCGGUGUGGACAAGGUUCCUGCCGGUGAGGACAAGGUUCCUGGCAGUGUGGACAAGGUUUCUGCCGGUGUGGACAAGGUUUCUGCCAGUGAGGAAGAGGUUCCUGCUGGUGAGGACAAGGUUCCUGCCGGUGAGGACAAGGUUCCUUCCUGUGAGGACAAGGUUCCUGCCGGUGAGGACAAGGUUUCUCGCGUUGAGGACAAGGUUUCUCGCGUUGAGGACAAGGUUCCUGGCGGUGAGGACAAGGUUCCUGUCGGUGAGGACAAGGUUCCUGGCGGUGUGGACAAGGUUCCUGGCGGUGAGGACAAGGUUCCUUCCUGUGAGGACAAGGUUGCUGCCGGUGAGGACAAGGUUCCUGGCGGUGAGGACAAGGUUCCUGGCGGUGAGGACAAGGUUCCUGGCGGUGAGGACAAGGUUCCUGGCUGUGAGGACGAGGUUCCUGGCGGUGAGGACAAGGUUCCUGGAGGUGAGGACAAGGUUCC
This 602-nucleotide long non-coding RNA is filed under the name Paramuricea clavata. Lineage: Eukaryota; Metazoa; Cnidaria; Anthozoa; Malacalcyonacea; Plexauridae. The record is from RNAcentral.